CUACGGGAGGCAGCAGUGAGGAAUAUUGGUCAAUGGGGUUACCCCUGAACCAGCAAUGCCGCGUGUGGGAUGACAGCGCUUUGCGUUGUAAACCACUGUCGGACGGGACGAGAAGAGGCAGAAGCCUCCGGGACGGUACCGUCAAAGGAAGGGUCGGCUAACUACGUGCCAGCAGCCGCGGUAAUACGUAGGACCCGAGCGUUGUCCGGAUUUACUGGGUGUAAAGGGUGCGCAGGCGGAUGCAUGUCGUCAGGGGUGAAAUACGCGGGCUUAACCCGCGGACUGCCUUUGAAACGGUGCAUCUUGAGUGCGAGAGAGGCGCGUGGAAUUCCUGGUGUAGCAGUGAAAUGCGUAGAUAUCAGGAGGAACACCGGCGGCGAAGGCGGCGCGCUGGCUCGCAACUGACGCUCAGGCACGAAAGCGUGGGGAUCAAACAGGAUUAGAUACCCUGGUAGUCCACGCCCUAAACGAUGCAUGCUUGGCGUCGGGUCAGCAAAUGACUCGGCGCCGGAGGAAA
Molecule: ribosomal RNA, 517 nt
Filed under: uncultured beta proteobacterium
Lineage: Bacteria; Pseudomonadati; Pseudomonadota; Betaproteobacteria
Description: bacterial SSU rRNA
Rfam family: Bacterial small subunit ribosomal RNA
Source: RNAcentral